AAAUUUUAUUCAAAAUCUGACACGGUGAACUGAAAAAUACCUAAUUUAUUUUUAAUUUGAAAAUUUACCUGAAAUCAAAAACUAUAAUCGUAAACCAAAAACUUUAAAAAUAUUCAUAAUACUGGAAACAUAUUCGAAAUAUCCAAAUAUAUCUAAUAAAUACAACAUAUUUAUAAUCGGGUCUAGGGUAGGAUCCAGACUCAAACAAAGACAUUCGGGUCAAAAAAACCCAAUAGGCUAUCUUCUCUAGACCUGAACUAAACCUAUAUUUUCGGGUCGGUUCGUUUUUUUUUUUUGAUCUGGAUAUAGUUCUCACGCCUAAAAGAAAUUAACUUACGUAAAAAGGUACAUAUAAGAUCUCAAAUAAACUAAUUCGUAGAUUAUAUAACUGUUAAAAUUAUAUUUUUCGAUAUAACAAGAAUUUGUAUAUAAUAUAAUCCAAAAUAAACCCGCGCUUUCCAAGCGCGGAUCAAAAUCUAGUUCAACAUUCCUAUUGGUAAAACAAUUUAUUAAACCAAAUAUAUUUAGUUAUGAGAAUACCAUUUUAUAUAUAGAUGCACAAACAACAUCAUUGCAUUUAAUUUAUUAUUCCAUAUCAAAGCUUUCGAUGUAGAAACAAAAUACAUUUGAUCAUAUAGAAUACAUGCUAAUGAUGUUCAUAUAUUAAUUAUUGGUAUUCUUAUUGGUCAAGAGUGUGGCCAUUGUACUACACAAGCAAUCCUCUCUCGAAGAAGCCUCCAUUGCUUCAAUAAGCUUAUUGUUCUUUUCAAUACAAUUAUCUAUUAUUUUCAGUUGAGAAUCAAUUAAUUUAUCCAUAUUUAAAUGUCGGAUUGCUUCAAACUGUUCGGUCUCCAAAAUAAUCUUGUUUUCUUCAAGGUAUUUGAUUAAAUUUUUCUCCAACCCCUAAAUUGCAAAAAAUAUAAUUAACAUUUGUAAAAAAAACAAAGCACAUAAGUGUAUGAAUAUUGUAAACUCACCCUCACAUGAUCUUCAUCUUCUUUUGAUUCGCCCUUCAUAAGAAUGAGUUCACCAAUAAGAUCGAAAACUUCAACAUUUGUGGAAGCCAUUCUUUUCUUUAAUGAAAUUAAUCUUGAAUGAUAUUUAAAAGUUUGCCUUCACUUCUUUAUCAUUUUGGCACAUUUAUAGAUUUGAUGAAUCAAGUCAGUCAACAAUAUUAAAUAAAUUAUUUAUAUUGAUGUUAUUCUUGGUCAAACAUAUUUACCAAUAUAUAAUACCAUAAACGUUCCAAUUUAGAGUAUUGAAUAAAACAAUUCUUGAAAAUAUAAUAUAUUAUCAUAUAUAUCUGGUGUAGCAAAAAAAAUCCUUAAUUUAUUUUUAAUUUCUACUGAACGAAUUGAUGUCACAAACAUUUUUUUUAUUUUGCUAGUAAAGUUUUUAAUAUUUUUUUCUUGUUCUCUUUUUUUUUUUGCCACAUUUUCUUGUUCUCUUUAAAACUAAAAAAAAAUGUGAUCUAAAUAUAUUUUAUUAAUAUUAUUUAAAUUUCACAUAAUUAUUAAUGUUAUAUAGGAUAAAAAAAUAAAUAUAAUGUUCCAGUAUGACAGUCCAAUAUUGUUAGAAAUUUUCCCUAAAUAUUAAUAGAAUAAAAAUACUAUUUAAAUUUAUGUAUAAAUUAUGAUAUACCUGAAUAUCAGUAAAUUAGAAACCAAAAAAAAAAUUAUUUUUAACGCUGAUUCAUUCAGUUAUCAAAGGAUAUAAUUCUGAGAAUACAAAACGCAAACCUAAAACCAUCAAAACACUCACUUAUAGGUGAUAUAGAACUGCUCAUAGAGCAACAAUACAACACAUCUUAGAAGAAGAACCCAACAGUAAUUCUAGUUUUUUUUCUGGGAUCAAACUCCAUGGUAGAUUUACUUCAGGUCAUAAAAUCCUAAUUCAAAUGAUAUCGUAACCAUGAUGGGCCAUUCCUAGAAAUUUAUAACUGAACAUAGUGAUUGCGGGUAACUAACUACACAAAAUCUCCAUUGUAGCAUGAUUUUGUUUCUACAACAUAUGGUCCAGUUACCAAAUAAUGGUUUUAUUGUGGCAUAUCCCAAUGUCGUCCACUCGUUGCCAAAACUGAGGGUACACGAUAGACGUAUGUUCAUGUUCUCUCAUGUCUUCCAUAGACAUAUUUUCGCUGCAGCACAAACCUGACAUGAGGAAAAGCAAAGAUUAACAUCUUGUUUAACCGUCAUGCCCAGGUAACCAUAGAACCUGACAAAGCCACAAGAGCAAUUAAUCUAACAUACAACGACAGCUACAAAAAAAACUAUCUGAUAACUUAAACAAAGGGUUUUCCUGAAGUAUCUACUAUCCCGGUCUGGGUAAUCCAUAAAAAUGUACCAGACUGUUGCUACUCAAGAUUAGGUCUCAGUCAUGUAGCUUCUGGACUUGGUGAGCCAAUGCAAACGCAUAAACCUCCUCUUGAUCCGACUAGCUUGGGUGAAGCAAAGUUGUUAGUUGAAGUUGAACUUGACAAGACCUUCCCGAAACAAAUUGUCUUAGAUGAUAAACAAAGUAAUAUAUUUUUGGUGGAUGUUGAGUACACAUGGAUUCCAAGUGUAUGUGGUAGAUGUGGAAACUUAGGACACAAAGAGAAAAGAUGUCUCCUCCCGGCUGUGCAAACGAGUGUGAAAAAAUCAAAGCAAGAUCUGCCAAAUGAAGAUUUGGAAAAAGAACAAACUCAGAUCAAUAUUGCAUCAGGUCAUAUGGUGGUACAAGAAGAAAAUUCAGAAGCUAGUUUGGUUUCAGCUGAAAAAGCACAAGGUAUUCUAGUGUGAAAAGCACUACUGAAACAAAGUUUGAAGAGAUGCAAACACAAGAGGGUGUUGAACUGAAUGAUCCUACAACACCAGCAAACUUCUCCAUUUACUCUAAGGUAACAGUAGCCACUAGCUCCAACUUUCAGUCUACUUCAUCGCCAUUAGCAGGGACCUUACCUGCUCCAACUCAAAAUUCUAUUAUGGAAGGAAUUCCAUCACCUAUAAUUGUUGCUGAGACCAAUUUGGUUUCAAGGAACAAUUCAUUGGCCUUCAUGUAUUCACCUAUACAUGACAGCCUCUCUCAUAAUCAAACUGAUCACCAAACUGAGCAGGAUGAUCGAGAUGAGUUUCUGAGUGAUGCUACGGCAAAUCUCAGCAUGUCAAGAGGUGGAAGGCCAAUAAAACCACUUCAAAAAUAUCAAGAUAUGGAUUGGAAAACAAUACGAGGGAAAGGUAAACGAGGUCGUCGAGGCCGUGGAUACCAUACUCCCUCGUGUUUGCUCUUUCUUAUCUUGUUUCAUUAAGCUUAUGUAGUAUAAGUUUCUCUUUUUCUAAGCUAUUGCUUGGCUAGAUAUGAGGCUUGUCUCAUCAUACUUUCUAAAACUUUAUGGUUGCAAAACUAUUGUAUGUUUAUGUUUUUUAAUUGAAUGCCCUUUUUUCAAAAAAAAAACUUAACAAAGGGGGAGAUAGAAAAUCUCCAAGAAUCUAAGGCUAAAAUCUCACAACGAAGCCAUGGAUCAACAAAGAGUGAUCGAUACAGGAAGGAAACCAAUCGAAAUAGAUGAUGAACCACCACACCCUUGACCACCCAUCGACAACUUGUAGAAAUACAUGUUUCAGGAGUAAAUUAUAGUACCCAAAGGAUAUUGUUGGUGUUAAUCAAGUUAUAGCCAAAUGAUUCUGUAAGAUAUUUGAAAAUGAAAUAAAUAAACAACUAUAUUUGAUUUUAUAUGAUCUAUGAUAAAUUAAUUACAAAUAAGCUUUGUAUAUUAUAAAUUUUUAUUAUUCUAAUUUAGGACUGGGAAUACUGUUGAGACACAGUCUCUCUGACAUGUUUAACUAAAAUUGACAUUGUAUUAGUUCUUUAAACAAAUGUAGAUUUGGGAGAAAUCCUUGUCAACCAUGACCAUUACAAAUGAUAUUUACCUCUUAGUAAUAGUAUGAAAAUAUUAGUAACAAAAUUACGUUGAUGUCCAUCCUCAUAUGUUUAUACCAUCCCUUUGCUGAUUGGGUUUCCCACUAAGCCAUAAAUUAUCCACCUAUAACCGUUUCCAUUAAAUUUUGCACUGAGUCUUGCCUUUAGAAUGUACAUAUGCUUAAAAUCCUCACCCAUAUUAAAUAAUUGAUGCAUGUUGAAUUCACCACCAGGUAAUUUAUUUGAACUAACCUCUAUUCUUGUUCUUCUUCAUCACAAAAUUUGUCAUCAAUAGGAGGGUAGAGUUCAUCUUCAUAAGAAAUGUUAUCCUUAUAGUUUACCUCCAGUUUCAAAAGUCUCUUUCUGCUGCCUAAACUACUUCAACAACAUAACCUCAAGCUCAUCUUACUACAACAACACAGAAUCAAGCUCAUCAUACUCCAACAACACAGACUCAAACUCCACCUGCCACCAUAACUUAACAAUCAGAAUUAGAUAGGUGGUAUGCUCAAGAGCUUGGUGCGCUUUGAUCAAUGUCUAAGUUGUUGUCUUUUGACUCUGAACAAUAUUAUGGUUUGUACUAUUUUGGUAAACUCGGUUGUUAAUGUAUAUUAUUUUCUUUUAAAUAUAUUUCUGCUUUUAUAAAUUAGGUUUUUUUGAAAUUUUUUUGGAAAAGUCAAUAAGAACGUGACAAAAUUCGUGACUAAAUCAAAUCACAGUUUGGUCAGGUAUAUUUUGUGGAAAAAAUAGGCACGGCUUAGCCACAUAAAUUUGUUACUACAAUAGUUACGAAUAUAAACAUAACCACUUUUUGGGAAAAGAAAACACAAAAAUAAACGUGUCAAAUUUCUGGCAAAAAAACCACAAAAAUUUCGUGACAAUAUCUUGACUAUAUUGCCACAGAAAAAUAUGACUAAAACAUGUUUAUACGUCCACGAUUUGUCACUAUUUUUUUCUGGAUACGAACGUAUCAUUACUAUUCAUGGUUAUUUUCUGAACGUGUCAAAAUUCUGACAAAAAUAUUUGUCGUAGUCACAAUUUAAAUUGUGGCUAUUCCCUAGAUUUUACUAGUGAAUUUAUAUUCUGUUUUUUUUUUGAAACUCUGAAAUUAUAUUAUGUUACCAUGAUCUACUGGCCAGUGAAGUGACAUGACUAGCAAGCUAGGAUCAAAAAGUAAUGGAAAAUCAGAAGUUUGUUACAUGCAAUUUGGCUUUAGCUAAUACUAAUACCAUGUAAAAAUAUAUCAUGUCAUGUGAGAAAACAUUCCAGCGAGAGUUAUUUAGCAGAGUGACUGGACGAGAGAGGAAAGCGUUACGUGUAUGAUAAGUUGCACUUGGUUCAGGAUUUUUGACAAAAGAGUCCCUGGACGUAAUAUUAUGUCUUAGUUUAAGAUUUCUAAAGUUCCUGGUCAGCCUACUAACUUGCGACAUUAGGCCAUUAGGGUGACAUGCAACUUUUUUGUCGUGGAUACAAUGUAACUGACUGAUGUUUUAAGUCACGAAUCUGGUAGUAGAGGAGCUUGAAUUUUUCUUUAAAAAGCUGGUCAAAUUCAAUCAUACCAGUAGGUUUGGGAUCAUUUGAUAUUUGUUGUCAGUAGGUUUGAGAUUGUUUUGUAUUGAUGCCCAUGUUUCCAUUUCUGUACAAAAUUAUUAUGGAUGCAUCUUGUGCUAGUUCACCUCUUCAAAACCCACAAUAUACAUUACUAUUUUGCAUUUAUUAGUAUGGAGCAAUGUUCGAAACUACGCUAGGCGCUAGUCGGGCGGCAACGUCGGGCCUAACGCCUAACAAAAAAAUCAGGGAAUACGUGGGGAUUAAUCGGGGUCUAGUUUUAGGGUUUUUAUAUAGGUUUUAUAAAUAUAUUAUAUAUUUUAAUUAUAAACAUAAAACUUUGUUUGCACAGUGGUUAGCAGGCUUUAACCAUGACAAAUUCACCCGGGUUUGAACCUCUUCCAGGGAUUUUUUGGUUGUUUUUAACUUUAAAACAUUAAUGAGGGGUAGAAUAGAUAUUACGUAAUCAUCUUCUUCCUUAUGUAUCUGCUGGAACCCUAACAUGGGGCCGCCUCACCUUUUCUUUUUCGUUUUUCAUUAUUUUCUUUCUUUUUCCUCUGUAUUUAUAGCCAAAAAUGAUAGAUUGAUCAGAAAACCUUCGAUUUUAAAGUUUAAAUGAACGCAAUCUUGAAUUUUUUAAGAUAGCCGAGUUUCUUCUCCGAUUAGCACCAAAUCGCGGCGGUUGGAGGCCGAGGAACGAUUUUCCGGCGAGUAAGCGGCCUUAGGCGCCGCCUUUUCGAACACGGGUAUGGAGUAUAUGUGUUGGCAAGAGGUAAAAGGAACCUAAAAUCUUAUCUAAUUCAAGUAUUCAAUUUUGACUUAGCAAUAAUGGCUGAUUGUGACUUUGUGAGUCACUCUCAUUUACUACCUAUAAAGAGCACAAUUAAUAACAAACAACAUUUAAAAGUUAGAGCUAUCUACUCUCCUUUAUACCAGUUUAAUAAAUUCACAAAAUAGAUGAGAUUAAAUAUUUAUUGUAAGUCUAUAUUGAAUCUUAUACAUGAACAAUGUACAAGCAGAGGUUAUAUACAGACACUGAUACUAGGGUAUACCAUAGAAGUUAAUGACAAUAUAUUAUGUACAAUAAAUAAGAAUAUACGAAGAUCAAGCGUUGAUAGUGAUUGAUCUCUAAUACGUCCCCUCAAAAUGGAGGGGUUUGCACACUCCAAUCUUGCCAGCAAAUGAAAUGAAUGUUGGAUAUGGUAGGGGUUUGGUCAUAGCAUCUGCUAGCUGAUCCUCGGUUGAGACGUGUACCACUCGUAGUGUGCAUGACUUGACUUGGUUUCGAAUAAACUGGUAGUCUAGCGCAACAUGCUUUAUUCUUGAAUGGAAGACGGGAUUGACCCAUAAGUAGGUGGCUCCAUCAUAUGGCUGGUGGAAGGAGAGGCUUUCAAGGUCCGACAUAAUAUGGUGGGUUGAGCCCCUGUCCAUUAGCCAGUUGGUAGUGUUGUAGGAAGCAGGUACGGUGAGAUUAGCUCGAGGAUUUCAAGGUAUGAAUGGACUAACUUUCUGCUGACGAGGAGACUGAUAGCUUUUGAGUUGAGAGCAUUGCUUGGCACUGUUUCCUUGUGUGCCACAGAUCUGACAGCAUCCAAGUUGUUGCGCUGUUGUGCCAUAUUGGCUGUGACAAGAGUUGGUGAGACAAGAGCAUCCCUGAGGGAGAGGAGUUUGGCCUCGUGGUUGAGUAGGCGCUCAUGCAGCUCCGUGAUCAAUGGGGGAACGUCCCUGCCUUCGAUCUGGUCUAUGACAUUUUUGUAAUCUUCUGGAAGUCCUUCGAGGAUGAGAUCGAUCUGGUCUUCGUGGUCAACUGCUUUCCCGAGAAUAGCUACUCCAUCCAAACGAGUUGUGAUGCUUUGAAAGUAAACGUCGAUUGUCUUGGUAUCCUUUUUCCAGUUCUUGAGUUGUGUCUUUAGCUGUUUUGUGUGACCUCUGCUUGGUUUUGCAUAGGUUGAUGCAAGUGUGGUUCACACAUAAGAGAAGGUGGUGCAAUGCGAGACAGGAGGCUGGAGAGAUUGAGAGAUUGCUCUUAGAAGUUCGCUAUAAAGGAGCUUGUCUGGAUGUUUCCACAAAGUGUAGGCCAGAUUUGUUGGAUGUGAUCAAGUCUUCAUCUUAUAUUAUUAGUUUAGAAGAUUCAUAUAUUAUAUAGUUAAGUAAUUAAUUUAUGUAUCGUAUCACACACCGAACAGAUACAAAUAUAACUGUUAACUGCAAAACAGUUACACAUGUGCAUGUACGUGUCUCUACAUUGGGGUGUCUUCAAGAGACAUGUCCCUUAGUUAGUGUCUCAUGUAAGACUAUAAAUACAUUCUAAAUAUCUAAUAAAGUAAUGUGGUUUUCGUUAUAUAAGAAUAAAGAAAUAUAUUGAGUGUCAAGGAAGAUAUAGAGAACGAGAGAUAAAACAGAGUAAAAUAUGUGUUGUCUGGUCCUUAAUAACUUUGAGAGUUUAAAGAUCUACAUGGUAUCAGAACUGUCAUAGAGAGAGUUGAUAGAUCUUUUGUUUGUUCAAGGACAGCCACGAUGCUGUCAAACUUUUGUGGUAAGGAGAUAAGAACCUUUUGAACAAAUUGGUAAUCAGUCUUGUCCUCACCAUGAACUCUUAGUUGAUUACUCAUGUUAAUCAAUUUGGUUGUGAAAUCAUUUAUGGUUUCACAUUCCUCCAUCUUAAGAUUCUCAUAUUCUCUUCUCAAGGUCUGAAGAUUAAUCAUCCUUACUUGUGAACUUCCUUGGAACUCCGUUUCCAAAGCGUUCCAAGCUUCUUUUGCGUUUGAUGCGGGAGUAAUUCUCGGAAAUAUUGAAUCCAAAACUGCACUUUGAAGAAUCUUAAGAGCCAUCAUAUCCUUCAUCACUUGAUCAUCUCUUUCUCUGGUUAACGCUGGUGUGUUUUCAGAAGACGAAAUUAACGUAAUUCCAUUUUCGAUAACGAGCAUCUUCAAACCAAAACUCAAUUAAGGAGGAGUGUUAGUUUAUAAUUGAGUUUGAUAUAAUUUUCAUAAUUAAAUGAUAAUGUAUGUGUAAACUCAUGGAGAUGGUGAGUUUUUAUCAAAAGACUUCAUCAAGCUAUGUCAACAGAGUGGCAUACAUCGUGAAGUAACAACACCCUACACUCCACAACAAAACGGUAUUGCAGAGAGACGGAACCGUACACUUGUGGAAAUUGCAGAGAGACGGAACCGUACACUUGUGGAAAUUGCUAGAUUGAUGCUCAUGGAGAAGCGUCUACCAAACAAGUUUUGGGCUGAAGCUAUUGCAACAUCAACAUAUUUGCAAAAUAGAUUACCAUCUGAGCCAUUGGAGAAAGAUGAGACUCCAUUAGAAGUAUGGAGUGGGAAGAAACCAAGUGUAAAUCAUUUGAAGAAAACUUGACUUUAAAGCCAAGCAAGGGAUAUUUGUUGGUUAUAGCAAUGAAUCAAAAGGAUGCAGAGUUUUCUUACUAAGUGAAGAGAAGCGUCUACCAAACAAGUUUUGGGCUGAAGCUAUUGUAACAUCAACUUAUUUGCGAAAUAGAUUACCAUCUAAGCCAUUGGAGAAAGAUGAGACUCCAUUAGAAGUAUGGAGUGGGAAGAAACCAAGUGUAAACCAUUUGAAGAAAACUUCACGUUAAAGCCAAGCAAGGGAUAUUUGUUGGUUAUAGCAAUGAAUCAAAAGGAUACAGAGUUUUCUUACUAAGUGAAGAGAAGCGUCUACCAAACAAGUUUUGGGCUGAAGCUAUUGCAACAUCAACUUAUUUGCAAAAUAGAUUAGCAUCUAAGCCAUUGGAGAAAGAUGAGACUCCAUUAGAAGUAUGGAGUGGGAAGAAACCAAGUGUAAAUCAUUUGAAGAAAACUUGACGUUAAAGCCAAGCAAGGGAUAUUUGUUGGUUAUAGCAAUGAAUCAAAAGGAUACAGAGUUUUCUUACUAAGUGAAGAGAAGCGUCUACCAAACAAGUUUUGGGCUGAAGCUAUUGCAACAUCAACAUAUUUGCAAAAUAUAUUACCAUCUAAGCCAUUGGAGAAAGAUGAGACUUCUUUAGAAGUAUGGAGUGGGAAGAAACCAAGUGUAAAUUAUUUGAAGAAAACUUGACGUUAAAGCCAAACAAGGGAUAUUUGUUGGUUAUAGCAAUGAAUCAAAAAGAUGGAGAGUUUUCUUAGUAAGUGAAGAGAAGCGUCUACCAAACAAGUUUUGGGCUGAAGCUAUUGUAACAUCAACUUAUUUGCGAAAUAGAUUACCAUCUAAGCCAUUGGAGAAAGAUGAGACUCCAUUAGAAGUAUGGAGUGGGAAGAAACCAAGUGUAAAUCAUUUGAAGAAAACUUGACGUUAAAGCCAACCAAGGGAUAUUUGUUGGUUAUAGCAAUGAAUCAAAAGAUACAGAGUUUUCUUACUAAGUGAAGAGAAGCGUCUACCAAACAAGUUUUGGGCUGAAGCUAUUGCAACAUCAACUUAUUUUCAAAAUAGAUUACCAUCUAAGCCAUUGGAGAAAGAUGAGACUCCAUUAGAAGUAUGGAGUGGGAAGAAACCAAGUGUAAAUCAUUUGAAGAAAACUUGACGUUAAAGCCAAGCAAGGGAUAUUUGUUGGUUAUAGCAAUGAAUCAAAAGGAUACAGAGUUUUCUUACUAAGUGAAGAGAAGCGUCUACCAAACAAGUUUUGGGCUGAAGCUAUUGCAACAUCAACUUAUUUGCAAAAUAGAUUACCAUCUAAGCCAUUGGAGAAAGAUGAGACUCCAUUAGAAGUAUGGAGUGGGAAGAAACCAAUUGUAAAUUAUUUGAAGAAAACUUGACGUUAAAGCCAAGCAAGGGAUAUUUGUUGGUUAUAGCAAUGAAUCAAAAGGAUACAGAGUUUUCUUACUAAGUGAAGAGAAGCGUCUACCAAACAAGUUUUGGGCUGAAGCUAUUGCAACAUCAACUUAUUUGCAAAAUAGAUUACCAUCUAAGCCAUUGGAGAAAGAUGAGACUCCAUUAGAAGUAUGGAGUGGGAAGAAACCAAGUGUAAAUCAUUUGAAGAAAACUUGACAUUAAAGCCAAGCAAGGGAUAUUUGUUGGUCAUAGCAAUGAAUCAAAAUGAUACAGAGUUUUCUUACUAAGUGAAGAGAAGCGUCUACCAAACAAGUUUUGGGCUGAAGCUAUUGCAACAUCAACUUAUUUGCAAAAUAGAUUACCAUCUAAGCCAUUGGAGAAAGAUGAGACUCCAUUAGAAGUAUGGAGUGGGAAGAAACCAAUUGUAAAUCAUUUGAAGAAAACUUGACGUUAAAACCAAGCAAGGGAUAUUUGUUGGUUAUAGCAAUGAAUCAAAAGGAUACAGAGUUUUCUUACUAAGCGAAGAGAAGAGAAGCGUCUACUAAAUAAGUUUUUGGCUGAAGCUAUUGCAACAUCAACUUAUUUGCAAAAUAAAUUACCAUCUAAGCCAUUGGAGAAAGAUAAGACUCCAUUAGAAGUAUGGUGUGGGAAGAAACCAAUUGUAAAUGAUUUGAAGAAAACUUGACGUUAAAGCCAAGCAAGGGAUAUUUGUUGGUUAUAGCAAUGAAUCAAAAGGAUACAGAGUUUUCUUACUAAGUGAAGAGAAGCGUCUACCAAACAAGUUUUGGGCUGAAGCUAUUGCAACAUCAACUUAUUUGCAAAAUAGAUUACCAUCUAAGCCAUUGGAGAAAGAUGAGACUCCAUUAGAAGUAUGGAGUGGGAAGAAACCAAGUGUAAAUCAUUUGAAGAAAACUUGACGUUAAAGCCAAGCAAGGGAUAUUUGGUUGUUAUAGCAAUGAAUCAAAAGGAUACAGAGUUUUCUUACUAAGUGAAGAGAAGCGUCUACCAAACAAGUUUUGGGCUGAAGCUAUUGCAACAUCAACAUAUUUGCAAAAUAUAUUACCAUCUAAGCCAUUGGAGAAAGAUGAGACUCCCUUAGAAGUAUGGAGUGGGAAGAAACCAAGUGUAAAUCAUUUGAAGAAAACUUGACGUUAAAGCCAAGCAAGGGAUAUUUGUUGGUUAAAGCAAUGAAUCAAAAAGAUGCAGAGUUUUCUUACUAAGUGAAGAGAAGGGUCUACCAAACAAGUUUUGGGCUGAAGCUAUUGUAACAUCAACUUAUUUGCGAAAUAGAUUACCAUCUAAGCCAUUGGAGAAAGAUGAGACUCCAUUAGAAGUAUGGAGUGGGAAGAAACCAAGUGUAAAUCAUUUGAAGAAAACUUGACGUUAAAGCCAACCAAGGGAUAUUUGUUGGUUAUAGCAAUGAAUCAAUAGAUACAGAGUUUUCUUACUAAGUGAAGAGAAGCGUCUACCAAACAAGUUUUGGGCUGAAGCUAUUGCAACAUCAACUUAUUUGCAAAAUAGAUUACCAUCUAAGCCAUUGGAGAAAGAUGAGACUCCAUUAGAAGUAUGGAGUGGGAAGAAACCAAGUGUAAAUCAUUUGAAGAAAACUUGACGUUAAAGCCAAGCAAGGGAUAUUUGUUGGUUAUAGCAAUGAAUCAAAAGGAUACAGAGUUUUCUUACUAAGUGAAGAGAAGCGUCUACCAAACAAGUUUUGAGCUAAAGCUAUUGCAACAUCAACUUAUUUGCAAAAUAGAUUACCAUCUAAGCCAUUGGAGAAAGAUGAGACUCCAUUAGAAGUAUGGAGUGGGAAGAAACCAAUUGUAAAUUAUUUGAAGAAAACUUGACGUUAAAGCCAAGCAAGGGAUAUUUGUUGGUUAUAGCAAUGAAUCAAAAGGAUACAGAGUUUUCUUACUAAGUGAAGAGAAGCGUCUACCAAACAAGUUUUGGGCUGAAGCUAUUGCAACAUCAACUUAUUUGCAAAAUAGAUUACCAUCUAAGCCAUUGGAGAAAGAUGAGACUCCAUUAGAAGUAUGGAGUGGGAAGAAACCAAGUGUAAAUCAUUUGAAGAAAACUUGACGUUAAAGCCAAGCAAGGGAUAUUUGUUGGUUAUUGCAAUGAAUCAAAAUGAUACAGAGUUUUCUUACUAAGUGAAGAGAAGCGUCUACCAAACAAGUUUUGGGCUGAAGCUAUUGUAACAUCAACUUAUUUGCAAAAUAGAUUACCAUCUAAGCCAUUGGAGAAAGAUGAGACUCCAUUAGAAGUAUGGAGUGGGAAGAAACCAAUUGUAAAUCAUUUGAAGAAAACUUGACGUUAAAGCCAAGUAAGGGAUAUUUGUUGGUUAUAGCAAUGAAUCAAAAGGAUACAGAGUUUUCUUACUAAGUGAAGAGAACCGUCUACCAAAUAAGUUUUGGGCUGAAGCUAUUGCAACAUCAACUUAUUUGCAAAAUAAAUUACCAUCUAAGCCAUUGGAGAAAGAUAAGACUCCAUUAGAAGUAUGGUGUGGGAAUAAACUAAUUGUAAAUCAUUUGAAGAAAACUUGACGUUAAAGCCAAGCAAGGGAUAUUUGUUGGUUAUAGCAAUGAAUCAAGGAUAAAGAGUUUUCUUACUAAGUGAAGAGAAGAUCGAAGUGUCAAGAGACAUGACAUUCGAUGAAGAGAAGACAUGGAAUUGGGAGAUUUAGGAGGUGAAGAAAUCGAUUCUUUCACAAUUCAAAAUCAAGUCUUCAAGGGAACAAGGAGAUCAAGGAACAAGUAAUGAUACAAGCGAUCACGAAGAGCAAAUAAGUGAUUUAGUCAAACAACUACAAAUCUCAAACAGAGGAGUUCAAAGCACACGGUCAAAGAA
Molecule: long non-coding RNA, 13059 nt
Organism: Brassica rapa (field mustard)
Lineage: Eukaryota; Viridiplantae; Streptophyta; Magnoliopsida; Brassicales; Brassicaceae
Source: RefSeq, a predicted model, not a curated record